Molecule: long non-coding RNA, 321 nt
Filed under: Carica papaya (papaya)
Lineage: Eukaryota; Viridiplantae; Streptophyta; Magnoliopsida; Brassicales; Caricaceae
Description: long non-coding RNA (CPAP_LNC003277)
Source: RNAcentral
AUAUCUGUUGCUGCCGUUAGGUUCCAAGCCUUGCUCAAAGCUUGUCUGUGAAUGACCUGGUACCUAUUACCACUGCUAGGGCGUUAACUUUAUCCAAGGGUUUUCUGUGCAUGAGCUAAUGCUUUGUACAUUGCAAGAGUUCAAGCCUUGCUCAAGGCUCGAUUAGAACGAACUGAGAUCUGCUGCCCCUACUAAGGUAUAAGCCUUGCCCAAGAGUUAUACUAGAACUGACGACUGCUUAUGCAUAAAAUUUGCUAUGUUGCGUUGCUUUUAUGAAUUUGAGUCUUACCUCAUCACCUACAUCAAAAUAAGCAAAAUCAU